Molecule: non-coding RNA, 852 nt
Organism: Arachis ipaensis
Lineage: Eukaryota; Viridiplantae; Streptophyta; Magnoliopsida; Fabales; Fabaceae
Source: RefSeq, a predicted model, not a curated record
AUUUUAACUAACAGAUUAAGUGAGUUACUAUAAUAAUAGAUCAGACAUCAUAUCAUUACCCAAAACCUUAAAAUAAUAGGGUUUUAAGUCUUUCUUUAUUAUAUAUAUUUAUUUAAUCCAUUCUCAAUUAAGAUAAUAAUUUACCUCUCAUACUUGAUAUGUCAGCUCCGCUUAUGUGGUCGAGUUAAGUGCACCCGCAUGAAGCAUUCUAUCAUCACUUUAGAUAGGAGCAGAAUGGAUAACAUGCAACUAGUUCUUCGAAUUGAUAUAUCAUAUUGUUGGGCCAUUGUGGGGAGCUCUCGACCACCAGAAAGAUUUUUGGGAGGAAUUAAGUGAGAGAAUAUAAGAUGAGAAGACACCACAUCUAACUCAAAAACCUUAAGGUAGUAAAUUAAUGGGUCUCUCAUCUUAUAAACACCUCACUCUUCCUUACUUUUUUCAAUCUCCUCCACCACAUAUGAGUAUUCGUUCAUCAUACCGCCACACUACACUGCGGGACACACCGUCCUAACUAUCUUUGUGGGAAAGACUUUUGAUGCUUCACCUUGAAUACUCAUUAAACCAAACCGAUUAACCAUCGGCUCUAUUACCACUUAUUGGGCUACCGUGGGGAGCUCUCGACUACCAAGGAGAUUUUCGGGAGGAAUCAAGUGAGAAAACAUAAGAUGAGAAGACACCACAUCAAACUUAAAAACCUUAGACAUAGGUUCUUUGUCUAAGUUCAAUGGUUCACAAAAUUCAAAACUUAACGAAAUUCGAGUCGUCACAUGAAUUGGAGCAUAUGAUUUCCCCGUCUCUCCCUUUUCCUGGGAAUGCUUACAAUCACAAGCAAGUAAUUGAAUGAGUGGGGGG